RNAcentral lists this ribosomal RNA (1369 nucleotides) under uncultured bacterium. RNAcentral describes it as "bacterial SSU rRNA". It matches the Rfam family "Bacterial small subunit ribosomal RNA", at positions 28 to 1381 of the family's 1533-position model. The record is from RNAcentral.
GACGAACGCUGGCGGCGUGCCUAAUACAUGCAAGUAGAACGCUGAAGAGAGGAGCUUGCUCUUCUUGGAUGAGUUGCGAACGGGUGAGUAACGCGUAGGUAACCUGCCUUGUAGCGGGGGAUAACUAUUGGAAACGAUAGCUAAUACCGCAUAACAAUGGAUGACACAUGUCAUUUAUUUGAAAGGGGCAAUUGCUCCACUACAAGAUGGACCUGCGUUGUAUUAGCUAGUAGGUGAGGUAAUGGCUCACCUAGGCGACGAUACAUAGCCGACCUGAGAGGGUGAUCGGCCACACUGGGACUGAGACACGGCCCAGACUCCUACGGGAGGCAGCAGUAGGGAAUCUUCGGCAAUGGGGGCAACCCUGACCGAGCAACGCCGCGUGAGUGAAGAAGGUUUUCGGAUCGUAAAGCUCUGUUGUAAGUCAAGAACGGGUGUGAGAGUGGAAAGUUCACACUGUGACGGUAGCUUACCAGAAAGGGACGGCUAACUACGUGCCAGCAGCCGCGGUAAUACGUAGGUCCCGAGCGUUGUCCGGAUUUAUUGGGCGUAAAGCGAGCGCAGGCGGUUUGAUAAGUCUGAAGUUAAAGGCUGUGGCUCAACCAUAGUUCGCUUUGGAAACUGUCAAACUUGAGUGCAGAAGGGGAGAGUGGAAUUCCAUGUGUAGCGGUGAAAUGCGUAGAUAUAUGGAGGAACACCGGUGGCGAAAGCGGCUCUCUGGUCUGUAACUGACGCUGAGGCUCGAAAGCGUGGGGAGCGAACAGGAUUAGAUACCCUGGUAGUCCACGCCGUAAACGAUGAGUGCUAGGUGUUGGAUCCUUUCCGGGAUUCAGUGCCGCAGCUAACGCAUUAAGCACUCCGCCUGGGGAGUACGACCGCAAGGUUGAAACUCAAAGGAAUUGACGGGGGCCCGCACAAGCGGUGGAGCAUGUGGUUUAAUUCGAAGCAACGCGAAGAACCUUACCAGGUCUUGACAUCCCGAUGCUAUUUCUAGAGAUAGAAAGUUACUUCGGUACAUCGGUGACAGGUGGUGCAUGGUUGUCGUCAGCUCGUGUCGUGAGAUGUUGGGUUAAGUCCCGCAACGAGCGCAACCCCUAUUGUUAGUUGCCAUCAUUCAGUUGGGCACUCUAGCGAGACUGCCGGUAAUAAACCGGAGGAAGGUGGGGAUGACGUCAAAUCAUCAUGCCCCUUAUGACCUGGGCUACACACGUGCUACAAUGGUUGGUACAACGAGUUGCGAGUCGGUGACGGCGAGCUAAUCUCUUAAAGCCAAUCUCAGUUCGGAUUGUAGGCUGCAACUCGCCUACAUGAAGUCGGAAUCGCUAGUAAUCGCGGAUCAGCACGCUGCGGUGAACACGUUCCCGGGCCU